AUUGAACGCUGGCGGCAGGCUUAACACAUGCAAGUCGAGCGAGCGGCGGACGGGUGAGUAAUGUCUGGGAAACUGCCUGAUGGAGGGGGCUAACUACUGGAAACGGUAGCUAAUACCGCAUACCAUCAGAUGUGCCCAGAUGGGAUUAGCUAGUAGGUGGGGUAAUGGCUCACCUAGGCGACGAUACCUAGCUGGUCGGAGAGGAUGACCAGACACACGGGGACGUAGAAACGGUCCAGACUCCUACGGGAGGCAGCCGUGGGGAAUAUUGCACAAUGGGCGCAAGCCUGAUGCAGCCAGGCCGCGUGUGUGACGAAGGCCUUCGGGUUGUAAAGCACUUUCAGCGAGGAGGCGUUACUCGCAGAAGAAGCACCGGCUAACUCCGUGCCAGCAGCCGCGGUAAUUC
Molecule: ribosomal RNA, 406 nt
Filed under: uncultured bacterium
Lineage: Bacteria
Description: partial 16S ribosomal RNA
Rfam family: Bacterial small subunit ribosomal RNA
Source: RNAcentral